Molecule: long non-coding RNA, 917 nt
Filed under: Trifolium pratense (red clover)
Lineage: Eukaryota; Viridiplantae; Streptophyta; Magnoliopsida; Fabales; Fabaceae
Description: long non-coding RNA (TPRA_LNC008406)
Source: RNAcentral
GAAACUACCAUUCACGAAAUACACGACCGCUUUACCAAAAAAAAAAAAAAUGACAUUGGCUCGUGACGUGUCCCUCUCUCAACCACUUAAAUUUCUACAAAAAUGUGAGCCAAAAAUUCAACGUGCUUUGUUUCCUUCCUAUGCGGCGCUGUGCUUCCUAUCACUUGUGUUUCUUUUCUUUCUCCAUCAACCCCUCUCUCAUCCUCUUGCUUUCAUAUCCUUAAUUUUUCCUCUCUUUUUUUAUCCCAUACAUUCUCAUUCAAUUGUGAAUUGUGAUUGGCUUUCUUUCUUCAUUAUUUCUUCUAAUACAGAGUAUUUUCUUUUGUGUUUCCAACUAAGCCUUUUAAUGUCAAGACAACGACAACAUAAAAUUCACAAAAUAUUUUCAUUUCUUUAACUACUAUUCAUAAAGAUCAGCCAUUAGCCAUGGAAACCUCAAACCUUAUGGUAAGGAAGAAAUAAGUUGGACUUAUUAGUGUUAACACAGAAAAAUAAAAUGGAAGGGAAAUGCGGUGGUUUCUGCGUAUUUCACACACUAACAGCAUUAUCUUAAAUGUGUGUAAGAGGAUAGGAACAAAAUAAAAAAACAAACUAACAGAUAGUAAUAAUCUAAAUUUAAAUUAACAUUGACUUAUUCAACAAUUAGCACUAAAUGGAAACCUUGUACUUAUUGAAAGUAAGCAUGGUGAAGAGAUUAGUCAUGUCAGGUAAAAAUAGUGGCAUCAAACAAAUUUUACAAUGUUGAUAGGCUGAUUAUACCAACAUAGUGGGGACUGGGGAGUUACUAUUUUACAAAGAGCUUUAUGCACCGCAUAAAAAAUAAAAUAAAAAGGUUGUGAAAUACGUGAGUCGAAUACACGCAUGGCACGCAUUCUUAGAUUUCGUGAAUGAAGUAUUCGUAUGAUAUAGCACUGCUG